AGAGAUGGAUUGGUGCCUUCGGGAACUCUGACACAGGUGCUGCAUGGCUGUCGUCAGCUCGUGUCGUGAGAUGUUGGGUUAACGUCCCGUAACGAGCGCAACCCUUGUCCUUAGUUACCAGCACGUUAUGGUGGGCACUCUAAGGAGACUGCCGGUGACAAACCGGAGGAAGGUGGGGAUGACGUCAGGUCAUCAUGGCCCUUACGGCCUGGGCUACACACGUGCUACAAUGGUCGGUACAAAGGGUUGCCAAGCCGCGAGGUGGAGCUAAUCCCAUAAAACCGAUCGUAGUCCGGAUCGCAGUCUGCAACUCGACUGCGUGAAGUCGGAAUCGCUAGUAAUCGUGAAUCGGAAUGUCACGGUGAAUACGUUCCCGGGCCUU
RNAcentral lists this ribosomal RNA (382 nucleotides) under uncultured Pseudomonas sp. RNAcentral's name for it is "bacterial SSU rRNA". It matches the Rfam family "Bacterial small subunit ribosomal RNA", at positions 1002 to 1382 of the family's 1533-position model. The record is from RNAcentral. Lineage: Bacteria; Pseudomonadati; Pseudomonadota; Gammaproteobacteria; Pseudomonadales; Pseudomonadaceae.